GUCUGCUUGAAGAUAUAAGGAGUCUAGCCUGCUCACUGAUUAGUUUAAGGGCCGCGGUAAUUUGACCGUGCAAAGGUAGCAUAAUAGUUAGUUUUUUAAUUGGGAUCUUGUAUGAAUGGUUGGACAAAGGAGAUACUGUCUCUAUAAUUUUUAUUGAAUUUAACUUUCAAGUGAAAAGGCUUGGAUUAUUUAAAAAGACGAUAAGACCCUAUAAAGCUUUAUAAGAAAUUUUUAUUUAAUUGAAUUAAUUAAUAAAUUUUCAGUAAUUUUUUUUAUUUUGUUGGGGAGACAAUGGUAUAAUUUUUAGUAACUGUGAGUGAGUAAUACAAAUAUCUAUGUUUAGUUUAGGUAAAGGAUCCUGGUUAGAGAUUAAAAGUUUAAGUUACUUUAGGGAUAACAGCGUUAUUUUCUUUGAGAGUCCAUAUCGAAAAGAAAGAUUGCGACCUCGAUGUUGAAUUAAAAUUUCUGAGUGAUUGCAGAAGUUGCUUUAGAAGGUCUGUUCGACCUUUAAAUUUUUACAUGAUUUGAGUUCAGACCGGCGUAAGCCAGGUCGGUUUCUAUCUUUUAAUAAAUAUAAUAGUUAUUUUAGUACGAAAGGAUUAAAUAAUUGAAUUUUUUUUUAUAAUGGUAA
This 631-nucleotide ribosomal RNA is filed under the name Pinnixa sp. 2 EPT-2016. Its description in RNAcentral is "partial 16S ribosomal RNA". It matches the Rfam family "Bacterial large subunit ribosomal RNA", at positions 1832 to 2723 of the family's 2925-position model. Lineage: Eukaryota; Metazoa; Arthropoda; Malacostraca; Decapoda; Pinnotheridae. The record is from RNAcentral.